GCCUACGGGGGGCAGCAGUAGGGAAUCUUCCACAAUGGGCGAAAGCCUGAUGGAGCAACGCCGCGUGGGUGAAGAAGGUCUUCGGAUCGUAAAACCCUGUUGUUAGAGAAGAAAGUGCGUGAGAGUAACUGUUCACGUUUCGACGGUAUCUAACCAGAAAGCCACGGCUAACUACGUGCCAGCAGCCGCGGUAAUACGUAGGUGGCAAGCGUUAUCCGGAUUUAUUGGGCGUAAAGAGAACGCAGGCGGUCUUUUAAGUCUGAUGUGAAAGGCUUCGGCUUAACCGGAGUAGGGCAUUGGAAACU
Molecule: ribosomal RNA, 305 nt
Filed under: uncultured bacterium
Lineage: Bacteria
Description: bacterial SSU rRNA
Rfam family: Bacterial small subunit ribosomal RNA
Source: RNAcentral